Molecule: non-coding RNA, 23 nt
Filed under: Arabidopsis thaliana (thale cress)
Lineage: Eukaryota; Viridiplantae; Streptophyta; Magnoliopsida; Brassicales; Brassicaceae
Source: RNAcentral
GACACAUCACCUUUUUCAAGUGU